CACUUCAAAUGAAAAUCUUCGUUCUUCUGUGUUCAAGCUUCAUUCGUCACCUUCAAUCUUGAUUCUUCGCGCCGUUGACGGAAAUUUUCAAUCAACCAGUCCUCACUACACUCCGCUCGGUCCACCGUCCGCACUACAUUCGGCUCCGCCCGUCCGAUAUUAUUGUUAAGGUUUGUGACUUUGUGUUUCAUUGAUUUUUUCUGGAGCAAACAUUGAAAAUCUGGACUUUAUUUUUUUUGGUUUUGUGUUUAAAGCCUUUUGACUAGAAGCAGUGAAGGAGAAGAAGAAUAAGAAGAAGAAGAUCUGAAAGCUCAUAUACUUAAACGUCAUAUCUUCUUCUGUCUGUUUUCACAAAUGCCACGCCCCUCUUUUCACAAGCUUAUUCUCUCAUCAACCAUUAGAGACAGGAAACUGUUUUCAUAUUUCAUGCUCUAUGGAAUGACUGUGCUUGGAUCUGGAUAAGUUGUCUCUUCUUACAGCUGCAUUAUCUUUGAUUUUGUUAAUCUCUAUCCGAAAGAGAAUUAUUGAUCCAGCAACUGCGGGCUUAGCAGUGACAUAUGGACUCAAUUUAAAUCUCAUACAAGCUGUGGAAUAUGGAAUCUUUGCUAUCUGGAGAACAAGAUUACAUCAGUGGAGGUAGUACUGUGCUAUUCCUAGUUAGCUGCCUCUUUUGAUAGAAGAAAGCCGGUUUGACCAUUCUUGGCCAUUACAUAGAGAAGUUCACAUUCGUGAUUAGCAGGUUCGCUACGCCUCACACAUGCCACUUGUGUUGUGAGUUUCUCACAUGCACUUUCCCAGGAGGGAUGAAAACAACCAUAGAAGGGACAACUAGUAGUGUUAAAUCUACUCUCAUUCAAACAUUGUUCCGCAUUGUGGAACCUGCAGCUGGUCAGAUUGUGAUAGAUGGAAUCAUUAUCUCUUCAAUUGGACAUCAUCAUUUGCGGUCAAGACUAAGCAUUAUUCCUCAGGAUCCGACCAUGUUUGAAGGGACUGUACUGAGCAACCUGUACCCGCUUGAAGAAUACACAGAUGACAAUUUGGGAGGCUUUGGUUACUGAGAAUGGAGAGAAUUGAAGUAUGGGACAGAGGCAGUUGUUGUGCCCUGGGCGUGUGCUACUUAAGAAAAGUAAAUUCGUGGUGCUUGAUUAAGCUAAUGCAUCUGUCGAUACUGCUACUGAUAUUCUGAUUCAGCUAACUUGUCGACAACACUUCACUGACUGCACAGUCGUAACCAUUGCACAGAGGAUAACUUCUGUUAUUGAUAGUGAUAUGGUUCUUCUUCUUAAUUGCGGUUUCUGUAGUCCUGAGUCUGGAUAUUCUUUUAUUGGUUGCGUUAUUGUCACGGUAACAAUAAUUAUUUUUCAAUAUCUUGGUGUAGGACUUGUUGAGGAAUAUGAUUUUCCAGACAAAGUUGCUCGAGAACAAGUCAUCGUCUUUUACACAACUUGUAGAAUACAAUCUCAGGGCAAAUUCCAGUUUCUUUUGUUACUGUAAUCUGCUUUGGAAUUAAAUCCUUUAAUCGAUAAAGCAAUUCUAUUUUUGAAGUGAAAGCACUAUAGCAUUGUAUU
Molecule: long non-coding RNA, 1568 nt
Organism: Pistacia vera
Lineage: Eukaryota; Viridiplantae; Streptophyta; Magnoliopsida; Sapindales; Anacardiaceae
Exons: 6
Source: RefSeq, a predicted model, not a curated record